CCAAUCUCUAAGAUCAUCAACCCUGUCGCUGUACGACUGAGAUUACCCAACUCCAUGAGCAUUCACCCCACGUUCCACGUUUCUCAGGUCAAGCCCUUCGUGGAGCCCCGUCUAAAAGUUUAUUUCCUUUUCAAGAUAACUCUGAUGAUAACAGUGCAGAUAGUAGAAUAAAAGUAGUCUAUUGGUUGAAUUACUCACUAUUUGUUGACAGAUCAAACUGAUAAACAGGACCUGAAGCUGCAGUAUUUUGUUUUUUAUCUCCCCAGAAAAAAAAACAAGGCUUGUCAGAUUUUUUUCUUGUACCGAUUGAAGUCACCAUGAGCAUCCAGCUGUCACACCCACAGUGGUUGUGUGCAGGUUUCUGUGUUUGUGCCGUGUUUCUCUCCUCCUACAGGGUGUGACUGGCAGAUGCAGCUGCACAGGUGAUUCUCCUUGGGCCUAAUUACCAGGGCUUCUUAAUGAGCUGGAACCAGGGGGGAGGUGUCAACCCGUUGUUUCUACCAGUGUGUUCUGCUCAUUCUGGUGACCAUGUCCUGAUUCCCCAAUCCUAGUCUCUGUCAUGCUCUGGAGAGUUAUUGGAACGACUCCUUGCCAGCCGUGAGUCUCACUUCCUUUCCUACCUCCAGUCCUGCGUCUCUGAGAUCACCUUGUGGAAACACCAGACCUUUGCUCACCUGCCUGUCCACCCUCCGACGCCGUGUGCUCUGCUAAAGCACAUCAGCUCUGGAAUCGCAAGGAGAGAACACCAGCCCCAUGAACCACCAAGCUACUCUUCCUGCCAAACCCAGCUGCUGUAGGAAAGACUUGCCUCCUCCAACAAACUAUCAUCCACUGCCAACAUUAAUCUGACUUUCCUCCUGUCCCACAUAAAUCUCCAUAACUUCCAGUGAACAAUCAAUAACCACUCUUCUGUCCUCCUCAGUGCCAGUCUAGAUCCCUCCAGCCGAUCCAGUCCGUAUUCAACCUUAUUUGUUGUAUUACAAAUAAAUUGUUCAAACUGCUA
Molecule: long non-coding RNA, 1003 nt
Organism: Girardinichthys multiradiatus
Lineage: Eukaryota; Metazoa; Chordata; Actinopteri; Cyprinodontiformes; Goodeidae
Exons: 2
Source: RefSeq, a predicted model, not a curated record